Molecule: transfer RNA, 72 nt
Filed under: Plestiodon dugesii
Lineage: Eukaryota; Metazoa; Chordata; Lepidosauria; Squamata; Scincidae
Also listed under: 1 other name
Description: tRNA-Ile
Rfam family: tRNA
About the family: Transfer RNA (tRNA) molecules are approximately 80 nucleotides in length.
Source: RNAcentral
AAGGAAAUGUGCCCGAAAGCUAAGGGCCACUUUGAUAGAGUAGAACACAGAGGUUAAAACCCUCUCAUUUCC